UAUUGAGAUACAUGGUGCCCACGGCUACCUAAUAGACCAGUUCCUGAAGGACGGUAUUAACGACCGGUCUGACACCUACGGCGGCGCAUUAUCGAACCGGGUCCGAUUUCUUAUUGAAGUCGUCCGGUCGGUGUCAGCGGCUAUCGGACCGGGUCGAGUUGCUGUCCGGGUCUCACCGGCCAUCGACCACCUCGAUGCCUAUGACUCAGACCCGGCAGGCUUAGGACGGGCUGUAAUAGAGCAGCUGAAUGCCAUCCAGCGCG
RNAcentral lists this unclassified non-coding RNA (263 nucleotides) under Hevea brasiliensis (rubber tree). Lineage: Eukaryota; Viridiplantae; Streptophyta; Magnoliopsida; Malpighiales; Euphorbiaceae. The record is from RNAcentral.